Molecule: unclassified non-coding RNA, 17 nt
Filed under: Mus musculus (house mouse)
Lineage: Eukaryota; Metazoa; Chordata; Mammalia; Rodentia; Muridae
Description: oocyte_clustered_small_RNA10793
Source: RNAcentral
GGUCGGGCAUAGUGAUU